Molecule: ribosomal RNA, 257 nt
Filed under: uncultured bacterium
Lineage: Bacteria
Description: partial small subunit ribosomal RNA
Rfam family: Bacterial small subunit ribosomal RNA
Source: RNAcentral
AGGACGAACGCUGGCGGCGUGCUUAACACAUGCAAGUCGAGCGGAAAGGCCCUUCGGGGUACUCGAGCGGCGAACGGGUGAGUAACACGUGAGUAACCUGCCCUGGACUUUGGGAUAACCCUCGGAAACGGGGGCUAAUACCGAAUAUUACUGAUUCUCGCAUGGGGGUUGGUGGAAAGUUUUUCGGUCUGGGAUGGACUCGCGGCCUAUCAGCUUGUUGGUGGGGUAAUGGCCUACCAAGGCGACGACGGGUAGCC